This 187-nucleotide non-coding RNA is filed under the name Polyangiaceae bacterium. RNAcentral's name for it is "6S RNA". It matches the Rfam family "6S / SsrS RNA". Rfam says of the family: E. coli 6S RNA was the first non coding RNA to be sequenced, but its function was unknown until recently. It consists of 184 nucleotides that fold into an extended hairpin structure with a large single-stranded internal bulge. The 6S RNA specifically associates with RNA polymerase holoenzyme containing the sigma70 specificity factor. Lineage: Bacteria; Pseudomonadati; Myxococcota; Polyangiales; Polyangiaceae. The record is from RNAcentral.
CCUCUGCUGUUUUCGGUGAGGCGAUCGACAGUUGGAUCCCUGGUAAGUCUGAACCCGGGGACCAAAUCGUCGGUUGCGGUGUGCAUGCCCAGGAUAUGUUCACUGGGAAGCCUAAAGCGGCCCAUCCGGUCCCCACCUAGCGAAAGCUAGGGGUUCAAUCCGAUCGGCCCACGUUGACGGCGGUACG